CUGUCCCAGGUGGUCCUGGCCCUGUAUGUGGGCGCCCGCGGUCUUUACAACCCUCCCCAGGGCCGGAAGUGACCGGUUCAGAUGAAAGCCAGCCUGCUUCGGAGAGGUGGCUGCCUUGGCUUCCGUGUCUCAGGAUUCACCCGCAGCUUCUACACCUUUCUCCUGCCUGUCACCACCACCUGUGAGCCUGGUCCCCAUGCUCCACCCUCUCCGCAGGUAAAUGCACGGACCAGCCCCUCAGAGCAAGACUGAAUCUCUGUGCAUGUCAAUUCCAAAUUCCCAGGGUCGGGCCUCUGUCUGUCCAUUUGGCAUUCUGUCUCUUUGCUCCCCGAGUAUCACCUCUGUACCCAGGAUUGCUGUGGGCCAGGCAACUCUCCUGAAGGUUGGAAACAUCCUAGAAGCUGGAACACAUGCUCCCAGGUGAUGGUACAUUCACUUAAUAAAAGCAAGAUGCCUGUGUUUGAAGAGUAGACUGCGUGGUGGCCCUGAGCAUGGACAGGAGAGAACUGAGCCUCCUCUGUCCUGCCCCUAGGGCGCCAGGGAUGUGUGGGGAGUCUGUUACUUUAAGUGGAGGGAAGAAGGUCUCUUCCCAGGGCUCUGGGCUUUGCAGACCUUGCCUUAAACAAACAGGAGAACUUAUUUGUCUUCGGUCAAACUACACAGAGAUCAAGGGGCAGGUGACCCCUUUUAGUUUGGAGUGAUGGGGUCACUAGUUUAUUUGCUCAUGGGCGGAGAUGAUCCCCAGUGGGGGGGGAGAACUGACUCGUGGUGCUUAGACCUCAGCGCUUUGCCUGCUUUGUUCACAUAAUCCUGACGGUGCAGACAGCCGGGAUGGUGGUGGGCUGCUAAGUGGCACCCAGCGCCACUCAGGUGGCCUCCAACUCUUCCCUCCCAACACGCCUCUCUGCACACAUUCUUCCUGAAGUCCCCACCUCUCCUCUGCUUGGCCCCUCCCCCACCCUCCCCAUCUGUUCUCCUAAGCUGCCCCCCAUCUGGGCCCUCCGUAUUUCUCAGCACGCUGGAUGACCCACAAGGAUGUUGGCACCUGUGCUGCCCAGCUACCCUCUCAAUGGAUGGUAUGAACCUCCCGUGCAGGAGAUGCCAGAGAGCCUUAAUGCUAAUUAUUGACUUGGCAUUAGCACCCUGACUUGAACACAUGCCACGUGUGUU
This is a long non-coding RNA of Zalophus californianus (California sea lion), 1170 nucleotides long. RefSeq lists it as uncharacterized. The transcript has 3 exons. Lineage: Eukaryota; Metazoa; Chordata; Mammalia; Carnivora; Otariidae. The record is from RefSeq and is a predicted model, not a curated record.